This 393-nucleotide ribosomal RNA is filed under the name uncultured bacterium. RNAcentral's name for it is "partial 16S ribosomal RNA". It matches the Rfam family "Bacterial small subunit ribosomal RNA", at positions 523 to 918 of the family's 1533-position model. The record is from RNAcentral.
CUACGUAGGGGGCAAGCGUUAUCCGGAUUUACUGGGUGUAAAGGGAGCGCAGACGGCGAUGCAAGUCUGAAGUGAAAUGCCGCAGCUCAACUGCGGAAUUGCUUUGGAAACUGUGUGGCUAGAGUAUCGGAGGGGGAAACGGAAUUCCUAGUGUAGCGGUGAAAUGCGUAGAGAUUGGGAGGAACACCAGUGGCGAAGGCGACUUACUGGGCCGUAACUGACGCUGAGGCGCGAAAGCGUGGGGAGCGAACAGGAUUAGAUACCCUGGUAGUCCACGCGGUAAACGAUGGGCGCUCGUCGUCGGCGGCAGACAGUCGGCGGCCAAGCGAAAGCGAUAAGCGCCCCACCUGGGGAGUACGGUCGCAAGGCUGAAACUCAAAUGAAUUGACGGGG